CGGACGGGUGAGUAAUGUCUGGGAAACUGCCUGAUGGAGGGGGGUAACUACUGGAAACGGUAGCUAAUACCGCAUAACGUCGCAAGACCAAAGAGGGGGACCGUUAGGGCCUCUUGCCAUCGGAUGUGCCCAGAUGGGAUUAGCUAGUAGGUGGGGUAACGGCUCACCUAGGCGACGAUCCCUAGCUGGUCUGAGAGGAUGACCAGCCACACUGGAACUGAGACAGGGUCCAG
This 233-nucleotide ribosomal RNA is filed under the name uncultured bacterium. RNAcentral's name for it is "partial 16S ribosomal RNA". It matches the Rfam family "Bacterial small subunit ribosomal RNA", at positions 99 to 334 of the family's 1533-position model. The record is from RNAcentral.